AGCGAACGCUGGCGGCAGGCCUAACACAUGCAAGUCGAACGAGACCUUCGGGUCUAGUGGCGCACGGGUGCGUAACGCGUGGGAAUCUGCCCUUGGGUUCGGAAUAACAGUGAGAAAUUACUGCUAAUACCGGAUGAUGACGAAAGUCCAAAGAUUUAUCGCCCAAGGAUGAGCCCGCGUAGGAUUAGCUAGUUGGUGAG
Molecule: ribosomal RNA, 200 nt
Filed under: uncultured bacterium
Lineage: Bacteria
Description: partial 16S ribosomal RNA
Rfam family: Bacterial small subunit ribosomal RNA
Source: RNAcentral